RNAcentral lists this ribosomal RNA (434 nucleotides) under uncultured Lachnospiraceae bacterium. RNAcentral's name for it is "partial 16S ribosomal RNA". It matches the Rfam family "Bacterial small subunit ribosomal RNA", at positions 341 to 792 of the family's 1533-position model. The record is from RNAcentral. Lineage: Bacteria; Bacillati; Bacillota; Clostridia; Lachnospirales; Lachnospiraceae.
ACGGGAGGCAGCAGUGGGGAAUAUUGCACAAUGGGGGAAACCCUGAUGCAGCGACGCCGCGUGAGUGAAGAAGUAUUUCGGUAUGUAAAGCUCUAUCAGCAGGGAAGAAAAUGACGGUACCUGACUAAGAAGCCCCGGCUAACUACGUGCCAGCAGCCGCGGUAAUACGUAGGGGGCAAGCGUUAUCCGGAUUUACUGGGUGUAAAGGGAGCGCAGACGGCAGUGCAAGUCUGAAGUGAAAGGCAUGGGCUCAACCCGUGGACUGCUUUGGAAACUGUACAGCUCGAGUACCGGAGGGGUAAGCGGAAUUCCUAGUGGAGCGGUGAAAUGCGUAGAUAUUAGGAAGAACACCGGUGGCGAAGGCGGCUUACUGGACGGUAACUGACGUUGAGGCUCGAAAGCGUGGGGAGCAAACAGGAUUAGAUACCCUGGUA